RNAcentral lists this unclassified non-coding RNA (1549 nucleotides) under Hevea brasiliensis (rubber tree). The record is from RNAcentral. Lineage: Eukaryota; Viridiplantae; Streptophyta; Magnoliopsida; Malpighiales; Euphorbiaceae.
UGGAGGUCUAGGAGCUAUUCCAUCUGCUUCUGAAGUUACAAAGAGAAAUAUCUUAGUUUCAGAGGAGAGGCUUGGAAGUAGCAGCAUGGGACAGCCUUUGGUAUCCCCACUGGCUAACAGAAUGAUGAUGUCACAAGCAGCUAAGGCUACAGAUGGAAUUGGUGUUGCUGAUGGGGCAAAUCUCGGUGAUGCUACGGUCAUGACUGGUAGAGUAUUCUCUCCUUCUGUUGGUCCUGGUAUGCAGUGGAGGCCUGGUAGUUCCUUUCAGAAUCAAAAUGAAGCGGGACAAUUCCGUGGAAGAACUGAAAUUGCACCUGACCAGAGGGAGAAGUUUUUGCAAAAAUUUCAGCAAGUACAGCAAGGUCAGGGUAAUCUUCUUGGCGUACCUCCAUUUAGUGGUGGAAACCUUAAGCAGUUCUCGUCCCAGCAACAGAAUCCACUUUUGCCACAGUUCAAUUCUCAAAGCUCCUCUGUCACUCCUCAACUUGGACUUGGAGUUGGGGCCCAAGCUGUUGGUAUUAACAACAUUGCCUCAUCUGCAUCUUUGCAGCAACAACCAGAUGUAGGCCACUCAAAAGCUGAAGACUUGCAGCAACAACAGAUUUUGCCUGAGGAUUCUUCUGCCGAUCCUUCUGUGAAUGCUGGGCUCGGGAAAAAUCUUUUGAAUGAGGAUGAUAUGAAGGCUUCAUAUGGAUUAGAUACCCCAAUGCAGGGAGGGGUCGCUGAAGCAUCCCCUAGGCCUAGGGAUACAGAUCUAUCUCCUGGGCAACCUUUGCAAUCCAGUCAGUCAUCUGGAAGUCUUGGAGUUAUUGGUCGAAGGAGUGUUGCUGACCUCGGAGCAAUUGGUGAUAGCCUGAGUGUGACCUCUGCAAAUUCUUCAGGAAUGCAUGACCAGAUAUACAACUUGCAGAUGCUUGAAUCUGCCUUUCACAAACUUCCUCUGGCCAAAGAUUCUGAACGAGCAAAGAGCUACACACCGAGGCACCCUGCAGUUACCCCUUCAAGCUAUCCCCAAGUACAGGCUCCCAUUGUCAACAAUCCUGGCUUCUGGGAAAGACUUGGAGCUGAUAACUAUGGCACAGACACUCUGUUCUUUGCAUUUUACUACCAACAGAAUACUUAUCAGCAGUACCUGGCUGCGAAGGAGUUGAAGAAACAGUCUUGGAGGUAUCACAGAAAGUAUAACACAUGGUUUCAGCGGCAUGAGGAGCCAACUGUUGCCACUGAUGACUUUGAACAGGGAACAUAUGUCUACUUUGAUUUCCACAUAGCCAAUGAUGAACAACAUGGAUGGUGCCAGAGGAUCAAGCAGGAGUUCACAUUUGAGUACAAUUUUCUUGAAGAUGAGCUCAUUGUAUAGAAUUUGUUUAUACCUGUAACAUUUAUUUUUCUAUCUGCCCUAUUUUCUUUUGGCUGUCUAAAUUACAUGGUUUGUACGGUAGUUUAUAUGUUUCGAAGGCGUGUCUAGUUUGAUGCUUUAGACGCCUUCAUUUAAAAAAACCGAGCAGAGAUCAGGAUUCAAAUUUCAUACAUACCUCUCUACAUGCUG